GAUCAUGGCUCAGGAUGAACGCUAGCUACAGGCUUAACACAUGCAAGUCGAGGGGCAGCAUGGUCUUAGCUUGCUAAGGCCGAUGGCGACCGGCGCACGGGUGAGUAACNCGUAUCCAACCUGCCUUACACUCUUGGACAGCCUUCUGAAAGGGAGAUUAAUACAAGAUGUAUCAUAGUAGUAAGCCAUUUUACGCUAUGAUUAAGGUUACCGUUAGGUAAGUACGUGGGGAUG
This 234-nucleotide ribosomal RNA is filed under the name uncultured bacterium. RNAcentral's name for it is "partial 16S ribosomal RNA". It matches the Rfam family "Bacterial small subunit ribosomal RNA", at positions 15 to 233 of the family's 1533-position model. The record is from RNAcentral.